Molecule: small nuclear RNA, 104 nt
Organism: Peromyscus eremicus (cactus mouse)
Lineage: Eukaryota; Metazoa; Chordata; Mammalia; Rodentia; Cricetidae
Source: RefSeq, a predicted model, not a curated record
UUGCUCACUUUGGCAGAUGCCCCAAAACCGAAGCAAUACACGGAAGAUAAACAUGGCCCCUGUGCAAGGACGACCCGCAGAUUCGUGAGGCGGUCUGUAUUUUA